AUUGAGUGUUUUCAGAUUCUAUUUUUAAAAAUUAAGUAAUUUUGUAAAAAAAUUAAAAAUUCUAUCAAAUUUAUAAUUCAUAAUUUAUUGAGUUUGAUAGUACCAAACAUUUGGUACUAUAAAAUUUUUCAUCGUUAAAUUUACCAUUUUAAUUAUUUACACUCAUUAGAUCAUACAAUUUAAUAAACUACCGACUCAAUCUUAGAAAAGCGCUAUCAUCCUAACCGCACAUUAUUUAAUCUAAAGGUUGAAAAUCUAAUAGCACCAAAUGCAGUAUAGCAACCUAAUUCAUAAUUUUAUUAGAUUUAAUAAUUUUAAAUAUUUUU
RNAcentral lists this long non-coding RNA (326 nucleotides) under Ananas comosus (pineapple). Its description in RNAcentral is "long non-coding RNA (ACOM_LNC025252)". The record is from RNAcentral. Lineage: Eukaryota; Viridiplantae; Streptophyta; Magnoliopsida; Poales; Bromeliaceae.